This 474-nucleotide ribosomal RNA is filed under the name uncultured bacterium. RNAcentral describes it as "partial 16S ribosomal RNA". It matches the Rfam family "Bacterial small subunit ribosomal RNA", at positions 28 to 507 of the family's 1533-position model. The record is from RNAcentral.
GAUGAACGCUAGCGGCAGGCCUAACACAUGCAAGUCGAGGGAGGAGCCUUCGGGCUUCGACCGGCGUACGGGUGCGUAACGCGUAUACAAUCUGCCUUUCACAUAGGGAUAGCCCGAAGAAAUUUGGAUUAAUACCUAAUGGUAUAUAGAUGUGGCAUCACCUUUAUAUUAAAGCUGAGGCGGUGAAAGAUGAGUAUGCGUUCUAUUAGCUAGUUGGAGAGGUAACGGCUCCCCAAGGCGACGAUAGAUAGGGGUUCUGAGAGGGAUAUCCCCCACACUGGUACUGAGAUACGGACCAGACUCCUACGGGAGGCAGCAGUGAGGAAUAUUGGACAAUGGUCGGAAGACUGAUCCAGCCAUGCCGCGUGCAGGAAGACGGCUUUAUGGGUUGUAAACUGCUUUUGCAGGGGAAGAAUAAGGACUACGCGUAGUUUGAUGACGGUACUCUGCGAAUAAGCAUCGGCUAACUCCGUG